This 253-nucleotide ribosomal RNA is filed under the name uncultured bacterium. RNAcentral's name for it is "partial 16S ribosomal RNA". It matches the Rfam family "Bacterial small subunit ribosomal RNA", at positions 524 to 776 of the family's 1533-position model. The record is from RNAcentral.
UACGGGGGGGGCAAGCGUUGUUCGGAAUUACUGGGCGUAAAGGGCUCGUAGGCGGCCAACUAAGUCACACGUGAAAUCCCCAGGCUUAACCUGGGAACUGCGUGUGAUACUGGAUGGCUUGAAUUCGGGAGAGGGAUGCAGAAUUCCAGGUGUAGCGGUGAAAUGCGCAGAUAUCAGGAGGAACACCGGUGGCGAAGGCGGGUCUCUGGGCCGAUACUGACGCUGAGGAGCGAAAGCGUGGGGAGCGAACAGG